RNAcentral lists this long non-coding RNA (203 nucleotides) under Elaeis guineensis (African oil palm). RNAcentral's name for it is "long non-coding RNA (EGUI_LNC011130)". The record is from RNAcentral. Lineage: Eukaryota; Viridiplantae; Streptophyta; Magnoliopsida; Arecales; Arecaceae.
CUCUCAGUUUUUAUUAGCUAUACAAUUUUGAUCAGCAAUGUUGUGUACUAAAAAAAAGUUGGCCAUGAAUAGAAAAAAAAAGAUCUCAUUUUGAUCCCUUGCAAUCUAUCAACAUUUGCUACAUAUCUAAAUUAUAGAAAUUUCCUACACUUUGGAUUAUAAAGAUUUUAUUUCAUGACUAGUAUAAUUCAUAAGGGCCAUUA